AGAGUUUGAUCAUGGCUCAGAAUCAACGCUGGCGGCGUGCCUAACACAUGCAAGUCGAACGCGAAAGUGGAGCAAUCCAUGAGUAGAGUGGCAAACGGGUGAGUAACGCGUGGGUGAUCUACCUCUGAGUGGGGGAUAACCUUCCGAAAGGAGGGCUAAUACCGCAUCACAUUGCGCUCUUAGAUGAGUGCGUAUCAAAGCUGGCAACCCGCAAGGGUCUGGCGCUUGGAGAGGAGCCCGCGUCCGAUUAGCUAGUUGGUGAGGUAAUGGCUCACCAAGGCGACGAUCGGUAGCCGGCCUGAGAGGGCGGACGGCCACACUGGGACUGAGACACGGCCCAGACUCCUACGGGAGGCAGCAGUGGGGAAUUGUUCGCAAUGGGCGCAAGCCUGACGACGCAACGCCGCGUGGAGGAUGAAGAAUUUCGGUUCGUAAACUCCUGUCGAGCGGGACGAAAGAUGCGCGGGUUAAUACCCCGUGCAAGUGACGGUACCGCUAAAGGAAGCCCCGGCUAACUCCGUGCCAGCAGCCGCGGUAAUACGGGGGGGGCAAGCGUUGUUCGGAAUUACUGGGCGUAAAGGGCUCGUAGGCGGCCAACUAAGUCACACGUGAAAUCCCUCGGCUCAACCGGGGAACUGCGUGUGAGACUGGAUGGCUUGAGUUUGGGAGAGGAAUGCGGAAUUCCAGGUGUAGCGGUGAAAUGCGUAGAUAUCUGGAGGAACACCGGUGGCGAAGGCGGCAUUCUGGACCAAUACUGACGCUGAGGAGCGAAAGCCAGGGGAGCAAACGGGAUUAGAUACCCCGGUAGUCCUGGCCCUAAACGAUGAAUACUUGGUGUGGCGGGUAUCGAUCCCUGCCGUGCCGAAGCUAACCGCAUUAAGUAUUCCGCCUGGA
This 894-nucleotide ribosomal RNA is filed under the name uncultured bacterium. RNAcentral describes it as "bacterial SSU rRNA". It matches the Rfam family "Bacterial small subunit ribosomal RNA", at positions 9 to 873 of the family's 1533-position model. The record is from RNAcentral.